RNAcentral lists this ribosomal RNA (156 nucleotides) under Hydnum repandum. RNAcentral's name for it is "5.8S ribosomal RNA". It matches the Rfam family "5.8S ribosomal RNA". Rfam says of the family: 5.8S ribosomal RNA (5.8S rRNA) is a component of the large subunit of the eukaryotic ribosome. It is transcribed by RNA polymerase I as part of the 45S precursor that also contains 18S and 28S rRNA. The record is from RNAcentral. Lineage: Eukaryota; Fungi; Basidiomycota; Agaricomycetes; Cantharellales; Hydnaceae.
CAACUUUUAACAACGGAUCUCUUGGCUCUCGCAUCGAUGAAGAACGCAGCGAAAUGCGAUAAGUAAUGUGAAUUGCAGAAUUCAGUGAAUCAUCGAAUCUUUGAACGCACCUUGCGCUCUCUGGUAUUCCGGGGAGCACACCUGUUCGAGUGUCAU